UAGUCCACGCCGUAAACGAUGGAUACUAGGUGUCCGGGAAGUUAACCUCCUGGGUACUACAGCUAACGCGUUAAGUAUCCCGCCUGGGGAGUACGGUCGCAAGGCUAAAACUCAAAGGAAUUGACGGGGGCCCGCACAAGCGGUGGAGUAUGUGGUUUAAUUCGAAGCAACGCGCAGAACCUUACCUACCCUUAACAUUUCACGCUCGCCUCAGAGAUGAGGUUUUCUCUUCGGAGACGUGAGGAUAGGUGCUGCAUGGCUGUCGUCAGCCCGUGUCGUAAGAUGUCUGGUUAAGUCCAAUAACGAGCGCAACCCUUAUCCUUAGUUACCAGCAUUGAGUUGGGUACUCUAGCGGAACUGCCGUCGAUAAGACGGAGGAAGGUGGGGAUGACGUCAAGUCCUCAUGGCCCUUACGAGCCGGGCUACACACGUGCUACAAUGGUGCUGACAAUGGGUUGCGACGCAGUGAUGCUGAGCUAAUCUCUAAAAGGCACCUCAGUACGGAUUGCACU
This 512-nucleotide ribosomal RNA is filed under the name uncultured bacterium. RNAcentral's name for it is "bacterial SSU rRNA". It matches the Rfam family "Bacterial small subunit ribosomal RNA", at positions 791 to 1304 of the family's 1533-position model. The record is from RNAcentral.